RNAcentral lists this transfer RNA (63 nucleotides) under uncultured Brevinema sp. It matches the Rfam family "tRNA", at positions 6 to 65 of the family's 71-position model. From Rfam's summary of the family: Transfer RNA (tRNA) molecules are approximately 80 nucleotides in length. Their secondary structure includes four short double-helical elements and three loops (D, anti-codon, and T loops). Lineage: Bacteria; Pseudomonadati; Spirochaetota; Spirochaetia; Brevinematales; Brevinemataceae. The record is from RNAcentral.
CUUUAGCUCAGAUGGUAGAGCAUCUGAUUUGUAAUCAGAGGGUCGUGGGUUCGAUUCCCACAG